This 436-nucleotide ribosomal RNA is filed under the name uncultured bacterium. Its description in RNAcentral is "bacterial SSU rRNA". It matches the Rfam family "Bacterial small subunit ribosomal RNA", at positions 1001 to 1434 of the family's 1533-position model. The record is from RNAcentral.
CCGAAAGGCAGGAGUGCCUGCAAGGGAGCGCGGAGACAGGUGGUGCAUGGCUGUCGUCAGCUCGUGUCGUGAGAUGUUGGGUUAAGUCCCGCAACGAGCGCAACCCUCACCUCUUGUUGCCAUCAGGUCAUGCUGGGCACUCUAGAGGAACUGCCCCGGUCAACGGGGAGGAAGGCGGGGAUGACGUCAAGUCAUCAUGCCCCUUACGCCCUGGGCUACACACGUGCUACAAUGGCCGGUACAAAGGGAUGCCACACCGCGAGGUAGAGCUAAACCCAAAAAGCCGGUCUAAGUUCGGAUUGGAGUCUGCAACUCGACUCCAUGAAGGAGGAAUCGCUAGUAAUCGCGUAUCAGCACGACGCGGUGAAUACGUUCCCGGGCCUUGUACACACCGCCCGUCACACCACGAAAGCCAGCUGUACUCGAAGUCGCUGAG